RNAcentral lists this transfer RNA (73 nucleotides) under Myotis davidii. It matches the Rfam family "tRNA". Rfam says of the family: Transfer RNA (tRNA) molecules are approximately 80 nucleotides in length. The record is from Rfam by way of RNAcentral. Lineage: Eukaryota; Metazoa; Chordata; Mammalia; Chiroptera; Vespertilionidae.
GCUGGUUUGGCUCAGUGGCUAGAGCAUCAGCUUGCAGACUGAAGGGUUGCAGGUUCAAUUCCUGUCAAAGGCG